This 493-nucleotide ribosomal RNA is filed under the name uncultured bacterium. Its description in RNAcentral is "partial 16S ribosomal RNA". It matches the Rfam family "Bacterial small subunit ribosomal RNA", at positions 30 to 523 of the family's 1533-position model. The record is from RNAcentral.
AUUGAACGCUGGCGGCAUGCCUUACACAUGCAAGUCGAACGGUAACAGGUUAAGCUGACGAGUGGCGAACGGGUGAGUAAUAUAUCGGAACGUGCCAAGUCGUGGGGGAUAACGUAGCGAAAGCUACGCUAAUACAGCAUACGAUCUACGGAUGAAAGCGGGGGAUCGCAAGACCUCGCGCGAUUGGAGCGGCCGAUAUCAGAUUAGGUUGUUGGUGAGGUAAAAGCUCACCAAGCCUGCGAUCGGUAGCUGGUCUGAGAGGACGACCAGCCACACUGGAACUGAGACACGGUCCAGACUCCUACGGGAGGCAGCAGUGGGGAAUUUUGGACAAUGGACGCAAGUCUGAUCCAGCAAUGCCGCGUGCAGGACGAAGGCCUUCGGGUUGUAAACUGCUUUUGUACGGAACGAAACGGUGAGCUCUGAUACAGUUUGCUAAUGACGGUACCGUAAGAAUAAGCACCGGCUAACUACGUGCCAGCCGCCGCCGUAA